GAGCAUGUGGUUUAAUUCGAAGCAACGCGAAGAACCUUACCAGGUCUUGACAUACUCGUGCUAUUCCUAGAGAUAGGAAGUUCCUUCGGGACACGGGAUACAGGUGGUGCAUGGUUGUCGUCAGCUCGUGUCGUGAGAUGUUGGGUUAAGUCCCGCAACGAGCGCAACCCCUAUUGUUAGUUGCCAUCAUUAAGUUGGGCACUCUAACGAGACUGCCGGUGAUAAACCGGAGGAAGGUGGGGAUGACGUCAAAUCAUCAUGCCCCUUAUGACCUGGGCUACACACGUGCUACAAUGGAUGGUACAACGAGUCGCGAGACAGUGAUGUUUAGCUAAUCUCUUAAAACCAUUCUCAGUUCGGAUUGUAGGCUGCAACUCGCCUACAUGAAGUCGGAAUCGCUAGUAAUCGCGGAUCAGCACGCCGCGGUGAAUACGUUCCCGGGCCUUGUACACACCGCCCGUCACACCACGGGAGUUGGGAGUACCCGAAGUAGGUUGCCUAACCGCAAGGAGGGCGCUUCCUAAGGUAAGACCGAUGACUGGGGUGAAGUCGUAACAAGGUACCAGUAUCUGCUGAAAAACCAGCUAGAGACGUAACUAACAAACCGU
RNAcentral lists this ribosomal RNA (608 nucleotides) under uncultured Lactococcus sp. Its description in RNAcentral is "bacterial SSU rRNA". It matches the Rfam family "Bacterial small subunit ribosomal RNA", at positions 935 to 1533 of the family's 1533-position model. Lineage: Bacteria; Bacillati; Bacillota; Bacilli; Lactobacillales; Streptococcaceae. The record is from RNAcentral.